Molecule: ribosomal RNA, 450 nt
Filed under: uncultured bacterium
Lineage: Bacteria
Description: partial 16S ribosomal RNA
Rfam family: Bacterial small subunit ribosomal RNA
Source: RNAcentral
GUGGGGAAUAUUGGACAAUGGGCGCAAGCCUGAUCCAGCAAUGCCGCGUGCAGGAAGAAGGCCUUCGGGUUGUAAACUGCUUUUGUACGGAACGAAACGGUCCGGGUUAAUACCCUGGGCUAAUGACGGUACCGUAAGAAUAAGCACCGGCUAACUACGUGCCAGCAGCCGCGGUAAUACGUAGGGUGCAAGCGUUAAUCGGAAUUACUGGGCGUAAAGCGUGCGCAGGCGGUUUUGUAAGACAGGCGUGAAAUCCCCGGGCUCAACCUGGGAAUUGCGCUUGUGACUGCAAGGCUGGAGUGCGGCAGAGGGGGAUGGAAUUCCGCGUGUAGCAGUGAAAUGCGUAGAUAUGUGGAGGAACACCGAUGGCGAAGGCAAUCCCCUGGGCCUGCACUGACGCUCAUGCACGAAAGCGUGGGGAGCAAACAGGAUUAGAUACCCCUGUAGUCC